AUUGAACGCUGGCGGCAGGCCUAACACAUGCAAUUCGAACGAGUGGCGGACGGGUGAGUAAUUUCUUGGACACUGCCUGAUGGAGGGGGAUAACUACUGGAAACGGUAUCUAAUACCGCACACCAUCAGAUGUGCCCAGAUGGGAUUGGCUCGUUGGUGGGGUAACGUCGCAGCAAGGCGACGGUCCCUUGCUGGUCUGAGAGGAUGACCAGCCACACGGGAACGAGGACAAGGUCCAGACUCCUACGGGAGGCAGCAGUGAGAAAUAUUGCACAAGGGGCGCAAGCCUGAUGCAGCCAUGCCGCGUGUAUGAAGAAGGCCUUCGGGUUGUAAAGUACUUUCAGCGGGGAGGCGUUACCCGAAGAAGAAGCACCGGCUAACUCCGUGCCAGCAGCCGCGGUAAUAC
RNAcentral lists this ribosomal RNA (406 nucleotides) under uncultured bacterium. Its description in RNAcentral is "partial 16S ribosomal RNA". It matches the Rfam family "Bacterial small subunit ribosomal RNA", at positions 30 to 526 of the family's 1533-position model. The record is from RNAcentral.